This 869-nucleotide long non-coding RNA is filed under the name Rattus norvegicus (Norway rat). Its description in RNAcentral is "long non-coding RNA NONRATT021435". The record is from RNAcentral. Lineage: Eukaryota; Metazoa; Chordata; Mammalia; Rodentia; Muridae.
UGUGCUCCGGGGACAUACAUGCAGGCCAAACACUUAUACUCACAAAGAAAUAAAUCUUUGGAAAAGAAUAUUUCCACCACGGUGGAGCUAUCAUGAAGAACAACCGGAUGAGUAUGAGGCAGAGCAAAGCAUCACUCGCAGCUUCUUGGCAGUGGCCCCAUAACUGGUAUUUGAGUGUGCAAGGCAGAAUGUACUAGUACACACCCCAUAGCUGUAGAAGAAGCCACCUCCAGCACUAAGUGGGUUUGGGACACCGGAUCUGUCAGCACUUCUCUCUGAGCCCCAGCUUCCUCACUGGCCUGACCAGCGCUGCCCCUACUGAAUUCUAACCGUAACUGCAAGUCAUCCACGUUGGGUGCUUGGCAUAGUUCCCAGGCCUGGCAGUUGCUCAGGAGGUGCCCAGCACUACGGUCUCACACCGUCAUUGUCAUCUUUAAACAACCACACACGUCCCAGGACACAGCAGCCGUGCUCAGCAUCACCGUGAAUAACUAGAGUAACCAUCAUGAAAGGAAGAGCCCCACGGAAGCUGGAGCAGCAAGGAGGGCAAAAGCAUCCCAGUCUGGAGUGGGGCAUAAUAAAUGAAAUUACUGAGUUUUCAAAAGGCAAGCAGGAGGCUCUGUCCUUAGCAGAAAUGGCAUCAAAACAGGGGGACAGAAGUGUCUGCUCAUGUGGAGAGACGAGUAGAGCCUGUGUGGUGCUCAACUGCUCUGCACAUGUCUCUGACCUUGGAUGAGGUCUCCUAUAGACUAUCCAAAAUACCUAAUCCAAUGUAAGCUCUGUGCAAACAGUCACUGCACUGCAUCCUUCGGGGAAUAACGGCAACGGGAGGAAAAGAUACAGACGGACGGACAGAUAGGGAUGUACAG